This 252-nucleotide ribosomal RNA is filed under the name uncultured prokaryote. RNAcentral describes it as "partial 16S ribosomal RNA". It matches the Rfam family "Bacterial small subunit ribosomal RNA", at positions 524 to 775 of the family's 1533-position model. The record is from RNAcentral.
UACGGAGGAUGCGAGCGUUAUCCGGAUUUAUUGGGUUUAAAGGGUGCGUAGGCGGCUUAGUAAGUCAGCGGUGAAAUUUUGCAGCUUAACUGUAACAGUGCCGUUGAUACUGCCAGGCUAGGAUUUGGUUGCUGUGGGUGGAAUGUGUGGUGUAGCGGUGAAAUGCUUAGAUAUCACACAGAAUAUCGAUUGCGAAGGCAGCUCACAAAGCCAAGAUUGACGCUGAGGCACGAAAGUGUGGGGAGUCAAACA